RNAcentral lists this ribosomal RNA (497 nucleotides) under uncultured bacterium. Its description in RNAcentral is "partial 16S ribosomal RNA". It matches the Rfam family "Bacterial small subunit ribosomal RNA", at positions 28 to 507 of the family's 1533-position model. The record is from RNAcentral.
GAUGAACGCUGGCGGCGUGCCUAAUACAUGCAAGUCGAGCGAACAGACGAGGAGCUUGCUCCUCUGACGUUAGCGGCGGACGGGUGAGUAACACGUGGAUAACCUACCUAUAAGACUGGGAUAACUUCGGGAAACCGGAGCUAAUACCGGAUAAUAUAUUGAACCGCAUGGUUCAAUAGUGAAAGACGGUUUUGCUGUCACUUAUAGAUGGAUCCGCGCCGCAUUAGCUAGUUGGUAAGGUAACGGCUUACCAAGGCAACGAUGCGUAGCCGACCUGAGAGGGUGAUCGGCCACACUGGAACUGAGACACGGUCCAGACUCCUCCGGGAGGCAGCAGUAGGGAAUCUUCCGCAAUGGGCGAAAGCCUGACGGAGCAACGCGGCGUGAGUGAUGAAGGUCUUCGGAUCGUAAAACUCUGUUAUUAGGGAAGAACAAAUGUGUAAGUAACUAUGCACGUCUUGACGGUACCUAAUAAGAAAGCCACGGCUAACUACGUG